This is a long non-coding RNA of Astyanax mexicanus (Mexican tetra), 757 nucleotides long. RefSeq lists it as uncharacterized. The transcript is spliced from 6 exons. The record is from RefSeq and is a predicted model, not a curated record. NCBI's taxonomy places the organism in Eukaryota, Metazoa, Chordata, Actinopteri, Characiformes, Acestrorhamphidae.
GUGGGUGCAGGUGAAUUAUGGGAGUUGUAGUGAGAGCUGAUAAUAGUGGGUGCAGGUGAAUUGUGGGAGUUGUAGUGAGAGCUGAUAAUAGUGGGUGCAGGUGAAUUAUGGGAGUUGUAGUGAGGGCUGAUAAUAGUGGGUGCAGGUGAAUUAUGGGAGUUGUAGUGAGAGCUGAUAAUAGUGGGUGCAGGUGAAUUAUGGGAGUUGUAGUGAGGGCUGAUAAUAGUGGGUGCAGGUGAAUUAUGGGAGUUGUAGUGAGGUCUGAUAAUAGUGGGUGCAGGUGAAUUAUGGGAGUUGUAGUGAGGUCUGAUAAUAGUGGGUGCAGGUGAAUUAUGGGAGUUGUAGUGAGAGCUGAUAAUAGUGGGUGCAGGUGAAUUAUGGGAGUUGUAGUGAGAGCUGAUAAUAGUGGGUGCAGGUGAAUUAUGGGAGUUGUAGUGAGAGCUGAUAAUAGUGGGUGCAGGUGAAUUAUGGGAGUUGUAGUGAGAGCUGAUAAUAGUGGGUGCAGGUGAAUUAUGGGAGUUGUAGUGAGGGGCUGAUAAUAGUGGGUGCAGGUGAAUUAUGGGAGUUGUAGUGAGGGCUGAUAAUAGUGGGUGCAGGUGAAUUAUGGGAGUUGUAGUGAGGGCUGAUAAUAGUGGGUGCAGGUGAAUUAUGGGAGUUGUAGUGAGGGCUGAUAAUAGUGGGUGCAGGUGAAUUAUGGGAGUUGUAGUGAGGGGCUGAUAAUAGUGGGUGCAGGUGAAUUAUGGGAGUUAUUAUUGAU